UAGGGAAUCUUCCACAAUGGACGAAAGUCUGAUGGAGCAACGCCGCGUGAGUGAUGAAGGGUUUCGGCUCGUAAAACUCUGUUGUUGGAGAAGAACAGGUGUGAGAGUAACUGUUCACAUCUUGACGGUAUCCAACCAGAAAGCCACGGCUAACUACGUGCCAGCAGCCGCGGUAAUACGUAGGUGGCAAGCGUUGUCCGGAUUUAUUGGGCGUAAAGCGAGCGCAGGCGGUUUCUUAGGUCUGAUGUGAAAGCCUUCGGCUUAACCGGAGAAGUGCAUCGGAAACCAGGAGACUUGAGUGCAGAAGAGGACAGUGGAACUCCAUGUGUAGCGGUGAAAUGCGUAGAUAUAUGGAAGAACACCAGUGGCGAAGGCGGCUGUCUGGUCUGUAACUGACGCUGAGGCUCGAAAGCAUGGGUAGCGAACAGGAUUAGAUACCCUGGUAGUCCAUGCCGUAAACGAUGAGUGCUAAGUGUUGGGAGGCUUCCGCCUCUCAGUGCUGCAGCUAACGCAUUAAGCACUCCGCCUGGGGGAGUACGACCGCAAGGUUGAAAC
RNAcentral lists this ribosomal RNA (555 nucleotides) under uncultured bacterium. RNAcentral describes it as "partial 16S ribosomal RNA". It matches the Rfam family "Bacterial small subunit ribosomal RNA", at positions 355 to 900 of the family's 1533-position model. The record is from RNAcentral.